This 989-nucleotide unclassified non-coding RNA is filed under the name Hevea brasiliensis (rubber tree). The record is from RNAcentral. Lineage: Eukaryota; Viridiplantae; Streptophyta; Magnoliopsida; Malpighiales; Euphorbiaceae.
AAAAGGUCAAAAUUCACAUGGAAUAUUUUUUUUAAAAAAAUAAAAUCAAGCUAACAAAUAAUAGUACAACACAGCUUAUAUCUUGAUAGCAACGCAUGCCGCACACAUGUUUUAUCUAGUCACAACAUUACAUACCUACAAACAACAAACUGGCCAAAUGAUAAAAAUGAAAUAGAAUAAAAUGACUUAGCACUAGUACUCCAUCAUCCCGUCAAAACGCUUUCCAACUAUCAGAAUCUCUCCUUGGUGUCUGACUCUCGGCCGACGUCUUAAAUGGGUCAUUUGAACCGAACGGAUCCGCAUCAUCAAAAGAUGUGAAACCAUGACGAUGAUCUGUGUCCCUGGUACUACUCAUGGAAUCAAACCUACUUAGUGAUUCGCGAGGAGGAAAGAGCCCAAAAUUAUAGUCAGAGUCUGCGGUGCUGCGAAAUGAAUCAAACCUAGCAAAUGAGUCCCGUUGCUGGAAUGAACCAUGAUCGUAGUCAGAGUCUCUGGUGCUGCGCAUUGAAUCAAAUCUUGAAAGAGAGUCACGGGUGCCAAAGGGGCCACUAUCAUUCAUGUUAAAGGAAUCAAAUCUGGAGAAGCUGUUCGAGUUUUCUUCAAAUCCUUCACUAUGUCUGCGAGGCGAGUUUGUAGAACUGUACAUAGGUGUGCUUGGAACCGAGUCCCCAAAGGCAAACGGACUCUUAUUCUGGAACAUAUUAUCUGCAUUCGGGGAGCCUCCUGAAUUAUAAGCUGGUGUGCUAGGAACAGAAUCAAAGAAGGGACUUUGCCUCGAGAACAAGUUAUCAGUCUGAGUGAAUCCAGAGUUGUAACUUGGGGUACUUGGAACAGAAUCAAAGAAAGGGCUUUGCUUCGGGAAUGUGUUGUCUGAAUAACUGAACCCAGCAUUGUAACUUGGAGUGCUAGGAACAGAAUCAAAGAAAGGGCUUUGCUUCGGGAAUGUGUUGUCUGAAUAACUGAACCCAGCAUUGUAACUUGGAGUGCUA